Gossypium raimondii (Peruvian cotton) is the source of this 1740-nucleotide RNA transcript. It is a transcript of the gene named cytochrome P450 CYP82D47, with no coding region annotated. The record is from RefSeq and is a predicted model, not a curated record. The transcript is spliced from 2 exons. NCBI's taxonomy places the organism in Eukaryota, Viridiplantae, Streptophyta, Magnoliopsida, Malvales, Malvaceae.
ACCUUCAUCUUCAAUUGCCGGUACAUCUCAUCUUGUAGUAGCAAUAGCUAUGGACUCAUUUCAUUCAUCCCCAGCAACUUCAACCAUCGCAAUAAUUGCUUUUCCAUUACUGUUACUCUUUCUUUUCUCUUUCCUAUGGAUAUCAAAACAUGCCCCAACAAACACAAACAAGAAGCAAACACCACCAGAAGCAGGUGGAGCAUGGCCUAUUAUUGGCCAUCUUCACCUCCUAGCAGGGCCACAACCACCUCACAUAAGCUUGGCUAACAUGGCUGACAAAUAUGGAAGAAUGUUCACUAUCAAGUUAGGUGUGCAUAGAACUUUGGUGGUGAACAAUUGGGAAAUUGCUAAAGAAUGUCUCACCAUAAAUGACAAAGCAUUCGCCUCUCGUCCAAAGGUAGUAAACAUGGAACUUUUGGGUUACAACAAUGCCAUGAUUGUCUUUGCACCAUAUGGACCUUAUUGGCGUCAAGUGCGCAAGUGUGCCACCAUUGAGCUCCUCUCAACUCACCGACUCGAUUUGUUUAAACAUGUAAGGGAAUCCGAGGUGAAAACAUCACUGGAACAGUUGUACCAGAUAUGGAACAAGAAGAAAGGUACUAAUUGUGACAAAGUAUUGGUGGAGAUGAAGAGAUGGUUUAGGGAUGUUACUCUUAACGUGAGUAUGAGGAUUAUUGUGGGGAAGCGAAUAUCGAGUUCAAGUGAAGGUGGUGAAACCAUGAAGUGUAAGGAAUUAUUGGAAGAUUUCUUUGAAAUGGCGGGCAAGUUUGUAAUUUCGGAUACGCUACCGUUCCUGAAAUGGUUGAAUGUCGGUGGAUACGAGAAGUCGAUGAAGAAGAUAGCGAAAGAAUUAGACCGCAUUGUCGAGGGAUGGCUACGAGAGCACAAGUGCAAGAGAGGUGAAGAUGGGGCAAAUAGUGAGGAAGAUUUCAUGGGAGUGAUGCUACCUAUUCUUCGUGAUGCAGAGGAGCAUGAUGCUGAUACCAUCAACAAAGCCACCAGUCUCGCUCUUAUUUUAGCGGCAGAAGAUACAACAUCGAUUACAAUGACAUGGGCUUUAUCUUUAUUACUCAAUAAUCGUGAUGCAUUAAACAAGGUUCAACAAGAACUAGACAUUCAUGUUGGCAACAAUAGAUUGCUAGUGAAAGAAUCGGAUAUCAAAAACUUAGUGUACCUUCAAUCAGUCAUUAAGGAAACUCUUCGCCUAUACCCUGCUGCUCCGCUUUCUGUGAUGCGUGAAUCCAUUGAAGAUUGCACUGUUAAUGGAUAUCAUGUUUCAAUCGGCACUUGGCUUAUUAUCAAUCUUCAAAAGAUUCAUCGUGAUCCAUUCAUCUAGGAAAACCCUUUUGAAUUUCGUCCCGAAAGAUUCAUGACUACCCAUAAAAACAUUGAUGUGAGGGGACAUAAUUUUGAACUAAUUCCAUUCGGUAGUGGUAGAAGAAUGUGCCCUGGAGUUUCAUUUGCACUUCAGAUUAUGCAACUUACAUUAGCUAAUUUGUUGCAUUGGUUCGAGUUUGAGACCCCGUUGAAUGAAGCAGUCGAUAUGCGUGAAGCAGCUGGAAUGACGAGUCCUAAAGCAACUCCAUUGGAAGUUCAUAUAACUCCUCGCCUACCUACUUUUGUUUAUGACUCCAACAACUAAUUGGAUUGCUAAGUUUGACUUGUAAUAAUGAAAAAAUAAUAUUAUCUUAUACUCUAAUAAACUUCUAAAAUUUAAUUUUGUUAUAAACAUUCUCACAC